RNAcentral lists this ribosomal RNA (483 nucleotides) under Cladosporium cladosporioides. RNAcentral describes it as "eukaryotic LSU rRNA". The stretch from base 128 to 281 matches the Rfam family "5.8S ribosomal RNA". Lineage: Eukaryota; Fungi; Ascomycota; Dothideomycetes; Cladosporiales; Cladosporiaceae. The record is from RNAcentral.
GUCAUAACCCUUUGUUGUCCGACUCUGUUGCCUCCGGGGCGACCCUGCCUUCGGGCGGGGGCUCCGGGUGGACACUUCAAACUCUUGCGUAACUUUGCAGUCUGAGUAAACUUAAUUAAUAAAUUAAAACUUUUAACAACGGAUCUCUUGGUUCUGGCAUCGAUGAAGAACGCAGCGAAAUGCGAUAAGUAAUGUGAAUUGCAGAAUUCAGUGAAUCAUCGAAUCUUUGAACGCACAUUGCGCCCCCUGGUAUUCCGGGGGGCAUGCCUGUUCGAGCGUCAUUUCACCACUCAAGCCUCGCUUGGUAUUGGGCAACGCGGUCCGCCGCGUGCCUCAAAUCGACCGGCUGGGUCUUCUGUCCCCUAAGCGUUGUGGAAACUAUUCGCUAAAGGGUGUUCGGGAGGCUACGCCGUAAAACAACCCCAUUUCUAAGGUUGACCUCGGAUCAGGUAGGGAUACCCGCUGAACUUAAGCAUAUCAAAA